Molecule: ribosomal RNA, 403 nt
Filed under: Amanita pallidozonata
Lineage: Eukaryota; Fungi; Basidiomycota; Agaricomycetes; Agaricales; Amanitaceae
Description: partial large subunit ribosomal RNA
Rfam family: Eukaryotic large subunit ribosomal RNA
Source: RNAcentral
CUAGUACUGCGAGUGAAGCGGGAAAAGCUCAAAUUUGAAAUCUGGCAGUCUUUUUUUUCUUCUUUGGCUGUCCGAGUUGUAAUCUAGAGAAGUGCUUACCUGCGCUGGACCAUGUAUAAGUCUCCUGGAAUGGAGCGUCACAGAGGGUGAGAAUCCCGUCUUUGACAUGGACUGCCAGUGUGUUGUGGUGCGCUCUCAAAGAGUCGAGUUGUUUGGGAAUGCAGCUCUAAAUGGGUGGUAAACUCCAUCUAAAGCUAAAUAUUGGCGAGAGACCGAUAGCGAACAAGUACCGUGAGGGAAAGAUGAAAAGGACUUUGGAAAGAGAGUUAAACAGUAUGUGAAAUUGUUGAAAGGGAAACGCUUGAAGUCAGUUGUGUCGGCUAGGGAUCAACCUAGCUGUUUU